GACAGAGGGGGCAAGCGUUGCUCGGAAUCACUGGGCGUAAAGGGCGCGUAGGCGGGACUGCAAGUCGGUCGUGAAAUCUCCGGGCUCAACCCGGAGGAGUCGGCCGAAACUGUGGUUCUUGAGGGAGGCAGAGGAGUCUGGAAUUCCCGGUGUAGCGGUGAAAUGUGUAGAGAUCGGGAGGAACACCGGUGGCGAAGGCGGGACUCUGGGCCUACCCUGACGCUGAGGCGCGAAGGCGUGGGGAGCAAACGGG
RNAcentral lists this ribosomal RNA (253 nucleotides) under uncultured bacterium. Its description in RNAcentral is "partial 16S ribosomal RNA". It matches the Rfam family "Bacterial small subunit ribosomal RNA", at positions 524 to 776 of the family's 1533-position model. The record is from RNAcentral.